RNA transcript from Tupaia belangeri chinensis (Chinese tree shrew), 2350 nucleotides. It is a transcript of the gene named zinc finger protein 346, with no coding region annotated. Lineage: Eukaryota; Metazoa; Chordata; Mammalia; Scandentia; Tupaiidae. The transcript is spliced from 8 exons. The record is from RefSeq and is a predicted model, not a curated record.
CUCUCUUUUCCUCUCUGUCUCUCUGGUCAAAUUUAAGAAAAAUACAUACAUACAUACAUACAUACAUACAUACUCUAAACUGGAGAUAAUCCAGACAUCCACAGCUAAUAAAUGGGUAAAUAAAAUGUGGUAUAUCCAUACCAAGGUAUUCUACUUAGCGAUAGAAAGGAAUGAAGUACUAGCAUUGUGACUUAGCCACUGCUUAGAAACAUGCUAAGGGGGCCCACCCAUGGCGAGCUCUGCUGCACAACAGGCUGAGUGGAGCACAUGAUCCAGAAGAACCAGUGUCUCUUCACGCACACCCAGUGUAAGAUCUGCUGCGCCUUACUCAUCUCUGAGUCCCAGAAGCUGGCACACUACCAGAGCAAAAAACAUGCCAACAAAGUGAAGAGAUACCUAGCAAUCCAUGGAAUGGAGACAUUAAAGGGGGAAACGAAGAAGCUAGACUCAGAUCAGAAGAGCAGCAGAAGCAAAGACAAGAACCAGUGCUGCCCCAUCUGUAACAUGACCUUUUCCUCCCCUGUUGUGGCUCAGUCGCACUACCUGGGGAAGACCCACGCAAAGAACUUAAAGCUGAAGCCGCACUCCACUAAGGUGGAAGCUCUGUCGAAACGCCUUACAAAUCCUUUCCUUGUGGCCUCCACCUUAGCCUUGCACCAGAAUAGAGAGAUGAUAGACCCGGACAAGUUCUGCAGCCUCUGCCACGCGACGUUCAACGACCCGGUCAUGGCUCAGCAGCAUUAUGUGGGCAAGAAACACAGGAAGCAGGAGACCAAGCUCAAACUCAUGGCACGCUAUGGCCGGCUGGCGGACCCUGCUGUCGCUGACUUAGCAGCCGGGAAAGGCUACCCCUGCAAGACGUGUAAAAUAGUGUUGAACUCCAUCGAGCAGUACCAAGCUCAUAUCAGCGGCUUCAAACACAAGAACCAAUGAGGAAACAGCAGGCUGGCGGGUCUGCUCGAGUGACUGCUCAGGCUUUGGUGACUAAUGCUGUGCUGCUCAUGGAGCCGAAUGAUCGGAGGUGGUGGAAACUGUUCAAGUCACCGAAAACAGUGGCGUCGCCCUUGGGCCAGAUUCCAACACAAAGGCAACUCAUUCCGAAAGAUGCGACUACCUUGGAAAACUAGUGUCUGCCCAUACCCAGGCCUGCCGGCCUGGCCCACUGCGCCUGCCCAUCGGCAGCCAUGGCUCUGUCCUCCUGGCUUACACUGGAGACUGUGCAGGCCCGAGGCAGGAUAGGCCCACAGACAGCCUUGUGGGUGCAGACGAGCCCUGCUCUCCCCUGUGUCAUGGGCCCUGUAGGUCAAGACGACGAGGCAGGGGUCUUAUAGGGCUGUAGUUUGGAGGAUGACUUUUCCCCUGCCCGUCCCUUCCGGGCCACCUGUUCAGAGGCCCCAGUGUUUUUCUUGCCUCUAAAGGUCAGUUUGGGGCCCCUCCCAGGCUCCAGAAAUCUCUGGUGAAACCAGGAGCUUUCGUGCCGGACUUUGGCCAGCGUGGGGAGCAGGAGAUGCAAGUGGCUGCCACCUGGGAGCUGGGGCUGAUGUGACACUCCACCUCCCCACCCCAGAAAGCCCCUCGCACCACAUACCAGCCAGUUGUCCAGGUUUCUGCCAACUCUGGGUUCUCCAGACUAGUGACACAGUCCUGGCCCUGUACUGUCCCCCGUCCCUUCUCCACAGCUCCUACAUGGUGCUAAGGCCCUGCAGCAGUUGGCCGCAAGGUGGAGCUGGAGAGGCCUCAGCUCCCAGGGGGUCGUGGGAGACUCCAGCUGGGGCCUUUCACCUCCUCUGUCAGAGGCCCUCUGAGCCGGGGCCACGUGGAAAGGUCCCCACAUCGAGUUCCCCGUUGGGUACAUGCCCUAGAAGGAAGCCUGCCUCAUGGCAGCCCUUCAGCCCUUCUGGCCCUCUGCUUCCUCCCAUGCAGCAGCCCACCCUGCCCAGGCUGCUGUGGUGCUACCUCCCCCAUCACCCGCUAGGACAUUUCUGGGUGGCAGAGCUGGGUGGGGCCCCAGGGAAACAGAGCUGACACGGUUGCUAGGGUGAGGACACAUGUUCCUUGGGCCCCCGACCCAGAUUUCUCAAAGUCUGCUGUGUUUUAUGGCCUGGGACUUCACUGGGAGUGGACUUUUCCUUAGAGCUUUCAUGCAAGAAUUCCAGGGAGUGUCCCCAUCAGAGGCCUCUCCACCGUGUCAGAAAUCCUGAGCUGCCGACGUGGCCUCCCACCUUCCCCCGAUCCCCGUGCCUGUGAAAUGCCUCCGUGUGUUGUGUGUGGGUGCGCGUGUGCUUAUGCUCCGCCUCGGCCGUGAGGCCUCGAAUAAAGUGUUUCUCACAGGACACUGCACUGUCACGGA